AUGGAUUCAGUGUUGCAGGCCUUCAAGUUGGCGUUCUUGCCCACGCGCGGCAUGGAUCUUGCUGGAGUUGAGCUCGCUGUGGCCGCAUACAUCUUCAGCAAGGAUCUCCCUAAAAGUGAGAUUCUAGCUGACAUCGGGCACUGCGUUGCGGACAAGACGGCUUUACUGACGCUUGCCCCAAAUGAAAGGGUCAUGGAUGACGUUAUUUCCGUCGUGGCCAUGAUGUUGUCAAAGACAUC
Non-coding RNA from Arachis ipaensis, 239 nucleotides. The record is from RefSeq and is a predicted model, not a curated record. NCBI's taxonomy places the organism in Eukaryota, Viridiplantae, Streptophyta, Magnoliopsida, Fabales, Fabaceae.